UUCAAAUUGUAUUAAUUGUAAUAUCAGACGGAGGUAAAGUUACCGAAGGCCUUCCCACCGACCUCGGUAAUCUUACCGCUGCAGGGAUCGUACCUCGGUGCCGUCGCUGUCCUCGGAAGAAUGCUUCCACCACACGCCCUGCGCCAACCCACCACCGCCCAUGGUGGUACGCUUACCGGAGGUGACGACACUAGACCUUACGGUUGGCUGUAGGUGGCCGCACACACCCAC
This 231-nucleotide long non-coding RNA is filed under the name Spirodela polyrhiza (greater duckweed). RNAcentral's name for it is "long non-coding RNA (SPOL_LNC001899)". Lineage: Eukaryota; Viridiplantae; Streptophyta; Magnoliopsida; Alismatales; Araceae. The record is from RNAcentral.